UAAACACCCGAUUCGCACUUGUAAUUCCCGCCACCACAAUGCUUACAUUUGCAUUUUUGAACACCAUUUUCGUCCUUAUACCUUUCAAAUUCUUUCCAAACUUUCGAUCUUGGGUUGAAUUCCUUAGUUUUUUUUUAUUUUUCUUGUGGAACUUGAUCAUUGGUUGGGUUGUCAACUUUAAUCGUCUCAUCUUCUACUUCAAUAUAGUCAUUCGUUGUUGACAUCUAAAACAAGAAAAAAAAAACAUAUUAGCAAAUAGCAGUAAACAAUAUAAUAGAAAUGUGAACAACAAACAUAUUAUCUUAUUUUUAAAUAAUGUGUUUUAAGCAUAAUUUUUAAAAAAAUCUAGUUUGAAAAUAUAAAUUCAAACUCUUUAUGAAUUUUGAAUAUAAAUUUCUAACAUAAUGUUUGAUGGGUUUAUAGGUACGUGACAUUAGAUGUAAUCCGUGGCAAAAAAUUGUAUUAUUAUUAUGUGCUUUCAGAAAGAGAUCCUUCUAAGGAUCCAAUAGUUCUUUGGCUCAAUGGUGGUCCUGGUUGCUCCAGUUUUGAUGGGUUUGUUUAUGAACAUGGUAUAUACUUCACUUUUUUUCACUGUUUCAUUAGAAUCACGUGCCUGUCUUGAUUUAUUUUCACAUAAAUUUCCUUGUUAUUAUUUAGUACAAAUAGCAGUUUUUGGAAGGUUAAAUUCCCAUGAAAUCUUGAAUUGACAAUCCACUUGUUUCAUAAUCAUAAUUCAGGUAACAACAUUGUAAAGAUAAAGAAUAUGUUGAUACCAUGUCAUUUUGUAAUCAGAAUAUUUCAAUAGUCUUUUUAUAUUUUGGGACCACAGAUUGCCAUUCUUAAACUGUGUAUGUAAUUGUAAAUGCAAUGCAUGAUAUGUACUCUUGAUACUACUAAUUCCAUCGAGUAAUCAUAAGUCAUAACCAUGGGUGUAUUAGGUAUUAACAAAUGAGUGGUUCUUGUCUUGCUUAAUCAAUCUAACAUAUAUGUUGUGUUGUAGGUCCUUUUAAUUUUGAGAAAGAUAAAACUGGAGGCUUGCCAAAGCUUCAUCUCAAUCCAUAUGCAUGGAACAAGGUUUAUAUAUACCAAUAUUUUCAACAGCAUCAAAACUAAUUUGAUAAUGGGGUUAAAUACCAGAAUUUUUUUUCCCUUGAUAAUGUUACUAAUUACAUUAUAAUCAGGAAGUUACAUACCAGAAUUCAUAUAGAAACAAAAACAAAACAAAAGCACGAGCCAGAUUUCAGGUGAACAAAAACAAAUCAAAUAAUGAUUUCAGAAAUCGGUGGUCAUCACUUACAUUCAAGCUGAUUUGAUCUCGAUUCCAAACUGAAGAGGAUACCGCGAGCUGCAAGGCUGUGACCGGUGAGGACUGAGGCGGCGACGGGGACGACCGGCUGGAGUAGCGGACUUGAUCUCGAUGACCGGCGACGAGACUUGAUCGGUGAACACAGAAUGAAAUCAACCGAGGCCGUGACCGUUGAGGACUGAGGCGGCGACGGGGACGACCGGCUGGAGUAGCGGAGUUGAUCUCGAUGACCGGCGACGAGACUCGAUCGGUGAACACAUAAUGAAAUUGACCGAUGGUUUUUUAGGAGAAAAUAGAACGACGGAGGUAGGGAGUCGGGAAUGGCCAAAAGGGAUUUGGACUUUGGAUGAAUAACGUGUGAUAAUAAUAAAAGAUACUGGCCAUUAUUUGUUCAAUAAAUUUUCGGGAAAUCGGGUAUACCCGAAACCCAAAAUAUUUACCCUUUACCCGACCCCAAAAAAAAUCGGGUUACCCAAAUACCCGAAAAAUGUUACCUGAUACCCGAUUUACCCUACCCGUUUUACCCGAUACCCGAAAAAAUCGGGCGGGUAAUUCAGGUAACGGGUAUUUUUGAAAGGGCAACUUUGUAGUUAAUUAUUUGACAAAUAUUGAUAACAUUAGUUAAACGGCUAUACCAUCCAUUUAAAUAGUUGACACGAGCUCGCCUCAGUUUAUAGUCAUAUAUCUAGCUCAUUUGUGAUUUUAAGGUCGUUUGUAAUUAUUUGAUAUUGGAUAUUUAAGUAUUUAGUUAAAAUUUAAUAUAGAAAAUUAAAAAUAUAUUCAUAUUAUAUAAAUAUGCAUAUGCUCGUUUAGGUUCGUGAGCUUAAUCGAGCUCGGCAUACGAAGCUCGGGUUUGAGCUCGUCUAAUAAAUGAGCUUGAAACUAAUUUCGAACUCGUCUAACUUCUAAUCAAGGUUUUUACUAGUCGGUCUAUAAUACUUCUGUUCGUUUAACCCUAAGUUCAACAUUCAUACAUUCAUGAAUAUAGUUAAAAGACAUUUAAUAUACUAAACUGAAAAGAAAAAAAUUAAAAUAGCCAAAUAUAAUGACCAUACAUAUUAACCCAUAAUGAUGUGGUGUGUGGCUUGGCCACCGCGGUAGGUCUAUGUGGUUGCGAUGCACUGCAACGAACACCGUCCCCUGUAAAAGUAUUUUGAUGUCCAUAUUUGUACUUUAAAAGUGGCUACGAGUAUCUAAUGGGUGAGAGAAACAUUUCAUCAUUUCCUCAAUGAAAUGAGAAGUAAAGUAACACACUGAACUAACAAUCAAU
This 2576-nucleotide long non-coding RNA is filed under the name Lactuca sativa (garden lettuce). RNAcentral's name for it is "long non-coding RNA (LSAT_LNC000319)". The record is from RNAcentral. Lineage: Eukaryota; Viridiplantae; Streptophyta; Magnoliopsida; Asterales; Asteraceae.